Molecule: long non-coding RNA, 1481 nt
Organism: Herpailurus yagouaroundi (jaguarundi)
Lineage: Eukaryota; Metazoa; Chordata; Mammalia; Carnivora; Felidae
Exons: 2
Source: RefSeq, a predicted model, not a curated record
AGGGAGACAGGAGGUGGGGGCAGGAGGAGAUGGGGGUUGUCUCCAACCAGGAUGGGGGGCAGGAGGUGCCUGUCACAGCCCCUGUCACACCCGUGUCCGUCUCUUACCCUAAGUUUUCCUGGCACGCCAUUAUCCGCUGAGCUUGUGAGCCGGGCUGGGCCCGGGCUGGGCCAGCUCCUGGAGCUGAGUCCCUCGUCAGGUCCAGUCCAGGCUCGGGGCACGGAGACCCCGGGGGCUCCCUGCUGUGCAGGUGGCCGAGUGCCAAGGAGCCUGAGGACAGGACCCCUGGCACCACUUAGAUUUGCAGACGUACUUGCCCCCCCCUCCCAGAACACGGAGCCCCCAUCCUGCCUUAACUGUUCACAAGAACCAGAUGUCCUCACUUCUUGCCCAAAAGUGCACACCAAUCCUGCAGGCACACCGGUCAGAGUCGACCCCACGGGACGAGUCCACACUUCCGGGUUGGUUCCUGGUCCCUUCGGGGAAUGACAGCACCCACCUAACACGGGGGCACCCUGGCCGUGAUGGAGGGUCUCGCCCCCACCCCGCCCCACCCGCACUGACGUCCCUCCCCCUCGGCCAGCACCUCGGCAGGCUCGGUGGGGGGAGCCGGGCCCCAUUCCCCACAGCACGGAGCACGAGGGGCCUCCUGGGUGAGCCCUGAGCUCCCGAGGCCCCUGGGCGGCGGGACGGCCGUGCGGGGGCAAGUCUCCGGGUGCCGGUCACGGCCCACAGGGGCCCAGCGUGGGGUCGGCUGUCCGGGGAAGGGCCCCCUCUGGAAACGGGGCCAGUACUUCAGCAGCACAUAAGGCUCCAGAGACAAGCACCACCCUGGGGGGGGUGGGUUACGGGAGUGCCGGCGACUUGGGCUACACUUUACCCCUUGGGGCCGCAAGUCCAGAGCGGAGGCCGGGCGGGGCGGGUGUGCGGUGGGGGCUCCCUGGCUCACAGAUGGUCUUCUCACUGUCCUCGCGGUCCUCACCGGCAGAGGGGCUGGGAGCUCUCCGGGGACCCUCUCCGGUGUGCAUUGAUCGCAGCAUGGGGUGCCACCCUCGCCACCUCGGCAUCGCCCUCCUCCUGACGUCACCACCUUGCGGGAAGAAAACCUACUGGUUUGGAGUUUUCUGAGACAGUGUCAGGUCAGAGUCCUUCCGUUCCCCCGGCCCGUGAAAAGACCGAGAACCUUCACGGCUUCUGCCGCACAGACGUUACGGAGCUCGGUGGGCUGCAGACGCGGCCUUUGUGUUUUACACGAAAUUCAUUCAACCUGCGACGUCACUCAAAAUGUAAAACGGCGAGUACGCGAGUCUCUUGGGAGUGUCUCAGCUCAGCACCCACCUCAAGUCACAGCACUGUUUUCCUGUCAUGCUGGGACUGUCUCUGGAACUCGUACUAAACUCCCAGGCCAGCAGGUGGCCAUCCUGAACUUGAAAGGGCCCCUCAGAACCCCCCAACUGCCCCUUUGUGUUUUAUGGGGAAAA